CCGCCGGCGAAGGGUGGCGUCUCCGGAUGCAGAGGAGCAAGACGGGGGAGUGAAUUGGUGCUGGAGGAGGAGGAGAGGGGAGGAAAGGGUGUCGGCGGAGGCGGCGGAGGAGGAGGAGGAGGAUGAGGUGGUGGUGUCGGAGAGGGAGAUCUGGAGGGCCAUGGCGACGGCCGCGUUCUCGCGGGCAGAGACCUCGCUGAUCCACGCCGAUUCCGAGUGGUACACCCACGGAUCGAGCACCGAGCAG
Molecule: long non-coding RNA, 247 nt
Filed under: Musa acuminata (dwarf banana)
Lineage: Eukaryota; Viridiplantae; Streptophyta; Magnoliopsida; Zingiberales; Musaceae
Description: long non-coding RNA (MACU_LNC011307)
Source: RNAcentral